GGGCUUGUGGUUUAGUGGUAUAAUUUUCCCUUAGCACGUGACGUCCUACGUCUCGCAUCUAAUCAUGGGAAAGGUCCUGGGUUCGAUUCCCAGCAAGUCCA
RNAcentral lists this transfer RNA (101 nucleotides) under Aaosphaeria arxii CBS 175.79. It matches the Rfam family "tRNA". From Rfam's summary of the family: Transfer RNA (tRNA) molecules are approximately 80 nucleotides in length. Their secondary structure includes four short double-helical elements and three loops (D, anti-codon, and T loops). The record is from Rfam by way of RNAcentral. Lineage: Eukaryota; Fungi; Ascomycota; Dothideomycetes; Pleosporales.